UACGUAGGGUGCGAGCGUUGUCCGGAAUUAUUGGGCGUAAAGAGCUCGUAGGCGGCUCGGUAAGUCGGGUGUGAAACCUCCAGGCUCAACCUGGAGACGCCACCUGAUACUGCUGUGGCUAGAGUCCGGUAGGGGAGUGUGGAACUCCUGGUGUAGCGGUGAAAUGCGCAGAUAUCAGGAAGAACACCAGCGGCGAAGGCGGCACUCUGGGCCGGAACUGACGCUGAGGAGCGAAAGCGUGGGUAGCAAACAGG
This 254-nucleotide ribosomal RNA is filed under the name uncultured bacterium. RNAcentral describes it as "partial 16S ribosomal RNA". It matches the Rfam family "Bacterial small subunit ribosomal RNA", at positions 524 to 776 of the family's 1533-position model. The record is from RNAcentral.